GGGCCUGUGGCGCAGUUGGUAGCGCGCCUCGUUCGCAUCGAGGAGGUCAGGGGUUCAAAUCCCCUCAGGUCCACCA
RNAcentral lists this transfer RNA (76 nucleotides) under Microbacterium sp. RNAcentral describes it as "tRNA-Ala". It matches the Rfam family "tRNA". Rfam says of the family: Transfer RNA (tRNA) molecules are approximately 80 nucleotides in length. Their secondary structure includes four short double-helical elements and three loops (D, anti-codon, and T loops). RNAcentral also lists the same sequence under 5 other names. Lineage: Bacteria; Bacillati; Actinomycetota; Actinomycetes; Micrococcales; Microbacteriaceae. The record is from RNAcentral.